CUACGGGGUGCUCCAGUGGGGAAUAUUGGACAAUGGGGGAAACCCUGAUCCAGCAAUGCCGCGUGUGUGAAGAAGGCCUGCGGGUUGUAAAGCACUUUCGGUUGGGAGGACUGCUUCUAGCACUAAUAUUGGUGGAAGUUGACGAUAACUUCAGAAGAAGCACCGGCUAACUCCGUGCCAGCAGCCGCGGUAAUACGGAGGGUGCAGGCGUUAAUCGGAAUUACUGGGCGUAAAGCGCGCGUAGGCGGCUAGAUCAGUCGGGUGUGAAAGCCCCGGGCUUAACCUGGGAACUGCAUCCGAUACUGUCUAGCUUGAGUACAGGAGAGGAGAGUGGAAUUCCACAUGUAGCGGUGAAAUGCGUAGAUAUGUGGAGGAACACCAAUGGCGAAGGCAGCUCUCUGGCCUGAUACUGACGCUGAGGUGCGAAAGCGUGGGGAGCAAACAGGAUUAGAUACCCCCGUAGUC
Molecule: ribosomal RNA, 465 nt
Filed under: uncultured bacterium
Lineage: Bacteria
Description: partial 16S ribosomal RNA
Rfam family: Bacterial small subunit ribosomal RNA
Source: RNAcentral